AGUUACAAGCGUGUCAUUUUCAGUGGCUCCAUUUUAAAUCAGUCUGCUGCCUCAGAAUCCCUUGCAAGAACAGCAAGGAAAAGGAAGCCCUCUCCAGAACCAGAAGGUGAAGUCGGGCCCCCUAAGAUCAAUGGAGAGGCCCAGCCGUGGCUGUCCACAUCCACAGAAGGGCUCAAGAUCCCCAUGACUCCUACAUCCUCUUUUGUGUCUCCGCCACCACCCACUGCCUCACCUCAUUCCAACCGGACCACACCGCCUGAAGCGGCCCAGAAUGGCCAGUCCCCCAUGGCAGCCCUGAUCUUAGUAGCAGACAAUGCAGGGGGCAGUCAUGCCUCAAAAGAUGCCAACCAGGUUCACUCCACUACCAGGAGGAAUAGCAACAGUCCGCCCUCUCCGUCCUCUAUGAACCAAAGAAGGCUGGGCCCCAGAGAGGUGGGGGGCCAGGGAGCAGGCAACACAGGAGGACUGGAGCCAGUGCACCCUGCCAGCCUCCCGGACUCCUCUCUGGCAGCCAGUGCCCCGCUGUGCUGCACCCUCUGCCACGAGCGGCUGGAGGACACCCAUUUUGUGCAGUGCCCGUCUGUCCCUUCGCACAAGUUCUGCUUCCCUUGCUCCAGACAAAGCAUCAAACAGCAGGGAGCUAGUGGAGAGGUCUAUUGUCCCAGUGGGGAAAAAUGCCCUCU
Molecule: small RNA, 683 nt
Filed under: Pan troglodytes (chimpanzee)
Lineage: Eukaryota; Metazoa; Chordata; Mammalia; Primates; Hominidae
Description: processed transcript
Source: RNAcentral